This 447-nucleotide ribosomal RNA is filed under the name uncultured bacterium. RNAcentral's name for it is "partial 16S ribosomal RNA". It matches the Rfam family "Bacterial small subunit ribosomal RNA", at positions 29 to 523 of the family's 1533-position model. The record is from RNAcentral.
AGCGAACGCUGGCGGCAGGCUUAACACAUGCAAGUCGAACGGUCCUUCGGGAUAGUGGCGGACGGGUGAGUAACACGUGGGAACGUACCCAUAGGUUCGGAACAACACAGGGAAACUUGUGCUAAUACCGGAUAAGCCCUUCGGGGGAAAGAUUUAUCGCCUUUGGAGCGGCCCGCGUCUGAUUAGCUUGUUGGUGAGGUAAUGGCUCACCAAGGCUACGAUCAGUAGCUGGUCUGAGAGGAUGGCCAGCCACACUGGGACUGAGACACGGCCCAGACUCCUACGGGAGGCAGCAGUGGGGAAUCUUGCGCAAUGGGCGAAAGCCUGACGCAGCCAUGCCGCGUGGAUGAUGAAGGUCUUAGGAUUGUAAAAUCCUUUCACCGGGGACGAUAAUGACGGUACCCGGAGAAGAAGCCCCGGCUAACUUCGUGCCAGCAGCCGCAGUAA